UUGGCCCGCCUUAAAUCAGUUGUUACUUAAUAUACACAUGCAAGUAUCAGCACCCCUGGAGAACGCCCUUAAAUCCCAAUUGGGAUAAGGAGCUGGUAUCGGCCUUUUCCCGCCCAAGACACCUAGCCACGCCACACCUCAAGGAAUCAGCAGUGAUAAACAUUGACAAUAAGCGACAGCUUGACCCAGUUAAAGUAAAAAGAGCCGGCUAAUCUGGUGCCAGCCGCCGCGUACACCACGUGGCUCAAAUGAUUUUAUCGGCGUAAAGCGUGAUUAAAGUUCUCUUAAUUUGAGUAAAAACUAAGCGUGACACGCUUGUUAGAACCAAAACGAAAGUACCCAACACUUGAAUCAGGACAGCUGAAACAAACUGGGAUUAGAUACCCCACUAUGCUAGCCGUAAACUUUAAUACAUCCAUCGCCGGGAACUACGAGCAAAGCUUAAAACCCAAAGGACUUGACGGUACCCCAACCACUAGAGGAGCCUGUCCUAUAACGAUAACCCCGUUAACCUCACCCCUUUAGCCUAUCAGCCUGUAUACCUCCGUCGUCAGCUUAACCACGUGAGCGCAUCUUAUGAGCUUAAUGUCCACACGCCAAAACGUCAGGUCAAGGUGCAGCACAUAGGGGGGAAGAGAUGGGCUACACUCUCUAAUUUAAAUACCGAAUGACUAUUAUGAAAACUAGUCUAAAGCGGAUUAGAAGUAAAAAGAAACCACAGUGUUCUUUU
Molecule: ribosomal RNA, 730 nt
Filed under: Pseudopaludicola falcipes (Hensel's swamp frog)
Lineage: Eukaryota; Metazoa; Chordata; Amphibia; Anura; Leptodactylidae
Description: partial 12S ribosomal RNA
Source: RNAcentral